Molecule: long non-coding RNA, 2470 nt
Organism: Dermochelys coriacea (leatherback sea turtle)
Lineage: Eukaryota; Metazoa; Chordata; Testudines; Dermochelyidae
Exons: 3
Source: RefSeq, a predicted model, not a curated record
UCACUGGGUGGGGGCUCGAGCUGGUUUUGCAUUGUGUUAUUGGAACGGAAGCCCUAGAUACUGAACCCGGCCCUUACUGCUGCCAACUCUGAUGGGCAGAAGGGUUACAUAUAGAUGCCUGACCAAUAAAGUAUUGGCACUUGACUGCAUUGGUUUGGAACCCAGAAUGCGUACAUCUGAAUAUCAAAGGACUAUCAUUGGUCUGAAAGGCCAUUUUGUUUGCCACUGCCAGAUUUGUUCAUGUUUUUUAAAUACAUGUCAUAACCUUCAUUUUUAUUUUGUAAGUAAGGGCUGGAUCCUGCUUUCCUUGGAGCCAAUAGAGAUCAGACCUUAAUUGUGUGAUUACAGAAGAAGGCUGCAAAAGCAGAAAUAAAGUAGUUAUUACUUAGUCCUGCCUUGAGUGCAGGGGACUGGACUAGAUUACCUACUGAGGUCCCUUCCAGUCCUACACUUCUUUGAUUCUAUGAUUAAAUGCAGCGUCUUAGUUCGGUAACAGACUUCUGGAGCUGUGUUUAUUUUUUCUAUUAGACAUAAUAGCAAAUGUUUAAUAUUUGAGGCAGAAGUAGAGACUGUACCUAGUGAGCCCUGACAUGAUGAGAAAAUCCACUCACCUCUUUCUGACUUACAUAUAAACAGAAUGUCUUUCCUUCGAAUUUCAUUUUGGCUACCUCGUUCCUAAAAUUACAAAACCACAUAUGUAACAGACAUGUUGCUCAUCACCCAUAUCACGGUCAUUAAUGCAGAACCCACACACAGUGGAAUUGGAAUCGGUAAUAUGCACAAAUUAAGCCAAAUUGUUUGUAUGAAACGCAAAAUUAAUCAAUAGACUAUUUUCAGAACAGUAGUUGGAACAGCUUCAAAGCCAUAUUUUUCAGUUCAUCCGAAGUGUAACAUAGUGACAAGAGGACUCCUGGCUCAAAGACAGUGGCUGGAAAGGGGAACGUCUCGGGAUGGAAUGUGAAUCGCAGGGGAAUGUCCAGGAGUCGUCUGAGAACUUUGCUUAUAUAUGUGCAUUAUCUGGAUGAAAAUAUCAAAUGUAAGAUACCACACUGAGCUGAUGAGGCCAAAAUUUGAGAUACAGCAAAGAAUGAGGAACAAUGCAACCAGCUUCAGAGGGUUUUGGGGGGGGUCUUUCAGGUGACUGGGCCAAUACAUGGACAAUGCAGUUUAAUGUAGACAAAUGUAAAAAAUAAUAAGUCUGGGGCAACAAACCAAAUAUAGAGAGUACAUAUUACAUGGAACAGUCAUGCAGCGUACUGACCGGGAAAGGGGUUUAGGGGUUAUUGUAGAAAAAUCCUUGAAGCCAUCAGCCCAGUGUGUGGCUGCAGUAAAAAAGGCAAACAGGAUACUGGGAUGCAUCAACAGUGGGAUAGAAUACAAAGCAAGAGAAGUGAUACUGUAACUGUACAUUGCAUGGGUUAGAUCUUAGCUAGAACACUGUGUUUGGUUUUUGUCACCUUUUCAAAGGAAAACACCAUUGCCCUGAAGAGGGCAGAGUUCUGAACGCCUAGAGUUAAAUAACUGGCAGCAUUUAAGAGGACUUUCUCUUUUUCUGCAGCAGAAAUAUCUAUCUGCCAAGAGACUUCCUCCAUUUAACAGAUACUGUGUGUACCUGUGAGGGAAUUCCAACCACUAUUCUUGGCAAUAACAAUGUAAGAACAUAAGAACGGCCAGACUGGGUCAGACCAAAGGUCCAUCUAGCCCAGUAUCCCGUCUUCUGAGAGUGGCCAGUGUCAGGUGCCCCAGAGGGAAUGAAAACAGCAGGCAAUCAAUGAGUGAUCCAUCACCUGCUCUCCAGUCCCAGCUUCUGGCAGUCAGAGGCUUACAGACACCCAGAGCAAUCCCACUUAACAACAAAACCAAAGGGCGUGAAGGCCAAAAAUGCUGCAUUUCCUGACACAUCCUGGAACACAAUAAGAUCUCAUCAAAACACUGCAGCGCCAGCAAAGUUUAUACAUCAAUAGCAACACUCAGUCCUGAAUAAGGUGGGGUAAUGAAUCUUCCCUCUUAAAUUAUGCCAACAGAACAGUUCCUGGCAGCUUUAUUUAGACCGUGACAUCCUGCCUAUAGAUGGGAAUCUGCAGGAGCUCAAAAAACAUGAUUCGUCCAGCACAAUAUGUGAGCAGAAAAUACAAUACAGCUCUUGGACCUGUGGGACUACUGAUUUACUGUCUAGCGCUAACCAAGGAAGAAAGCUCCCACAUAUCACCGAGUCGCUCUCUUAAACUUGAAAACCUUAAAUUGUUAGUUGCGCAGAUCUGAGCAGCACGUACAAAAGGUCCAGCUGACCAGAAUCAAGACACUUUUAAAAGCAAUAACUCGUGUCAUGGACAGUGCGAGUCAGCAGUUUAAUUUAAUCAUAAUGUUUAGGCUCUAGUGAAGGGAACAUUAAUUGUCUUGGCAUUGAUGGAAAAAUACAUGCGUCAACUUUUUAAAAUAUCAUGCACAGCAGUAGGUGCUGUGUAGGUAA